Molecule: ribosomal RNA, 406 nt
Filed under: uncultured bacterium
Lineage: Bacteria
Description: partial 16S ribosomal RNA
Rfam family: Bacterial small subunit ribosomal RNA
Source: RNAcentral
AUUGAACGCUGGCGGCAGGCCUAACACAUGCAAGUCGAACGAGUGGCGGACGGGAGAGUAAUGUCUGGGAAUAUGACUGAUGGAGAGCGCUCACUACUGGAAACGGUAGCUACAUACGCAUACCAUCGGAUUGGCCCAGAUGGGAUUAGCUAGUAGGGGGGGUAAAGGCUCACCUAGGCGACGAUCCCUAGCUGGUCUGUGAGGAUGACCAGCCAAACUGGAACUGAGACACGGUCCAGACUCCUACGGGAGGCAGCAGUGGGGAAUAUUGCACAAUGGGCGAAAGCCUGAUGCAGCCAUGCCGCGUGUGUGAAGAAGGUCUUCGGAUUGUAAAGUACUUUCAGUGGGGAGGCGUUACCCGCAGAAUAAGCACCGGCUAACUCCGUGCCAGCAGCCGCGGUAAUUC